RNAcentral lists this ribosomal RNA (683 nucleotides) under Pseudopolydesmus canadensis. RNAcentral's name for it is "partial large subunit ribosomal RNA". Lineage: Eukaryota; Metazoa; Arthropoda; Diplopoda; Polydesmida; Polydesmidae. The record is from RNAcentral.
UAUUAGUUAUGAAAUAUAUUUCAAGAAAUUUUAUAUCUAGUUUUUUAAGAGUAAAAGUUUAAUAGAAUAAUUUUUAUAAAAAUUAAUAUGGUUUAGCUUAUUAAUUUUAUAUACUGAUAGAAUUUUUUAACCUUAGUAAAUUUGAUAGUGUUUAUUUUAUAAAUUUAUAAUGGAGGGUAAUAUGAAUAAAAAUUUUUAUUUGUUAUUUUUUUAUUAAAAAAUUUAUUUAAAUUUUAGAGUUUUAUUUAUAAUGAAAAAAUUAGUAAAAAUUUAUUUAUAUUAAAAAAUAAUUAAUAAUUUAUAAUUGUUAUAAUUAUUAUAAAAAAUGAAUUCGGCAAAAAGUAUUAUUUGACUGUUUAGCAAAAACAUUGUUUCAUGAAGAAUAUAUGAAAUAAUGUCUGUCCACUGAUAUAUUUGAAGGACUGCAGUAUAUUGACUGUAUAAAAGUAGCAUAAUCAUUAGCUUUUUAAUUUGGGGUUGGUAUGAAGGCGAAACGGAUAAGUUCUUUAUUUUUUAUAAGUGUUUAAGUUUAUUUUUAAGUGAAAAAUCUUAAUUAGAUGAGAGGGACCACAAGACCCUAAUAAGUUUUAUUUUUCUCUUAUUUAUGUUAUAGGAAAAUUUAAUUAGAUAAUAUUAAUAUUAGAAAUUUGGUUGGGGCGAUUAGUUAUAAAACAUAAUUUAUU